RNAcentral lists this unclassified non-coding RNA (304 nucleotides) under Hevea brasiliensis (rubber tree). Lineage: Eukaryota; Viridiplantae; Streptophyta; Magnoliopsida; Malpighiales; Euphorbiaceae. The record is from RNAcentral.
UGAUUUCUGUAAUUUUUUUUUUGGUGGGCUUAAUGAUUCAGUAAUAUAUUUGUGAUUCUGCUUUUGGGAGACGAGUACAAUAACCUCUUUGUUUGUCAACGACUUAAUUGAUGUGGCCUUUUAUUGUCAUAUAGUGUUUGGAUGAUAAGAAACGCGGAGAAGAUUUUUACCAGUGAAAUAAAAAAUUUUAAUGAAAUUCGUUGUCUUCACUUUUUUAUGUACCGGUGGAUGUUGCUUCUAUUUUCUGUUGUGAUCCUUUACUAUGAGUUCUAGUAUGGUUGUGCACCCAAAAGUUGAAUUUUGA